GGAGGGUAGAAUAAUUACUGUCAAUCAACACUGAGAAAAAUAUCUUGUCAAAAUUCAUAUCUUGACUAACAAGAAGAAAAAGUUUGGCUGGUGAUAGCAAUGGCAGCACUCUACUAGACUACUGUUAGACAUUUAACUUUGUAAUAUACAGUUAAAAUAAAAUAAAAAAUGAUAGAAUAUUAGAAAGUUUCCUAGGCCUAAACUUUAAUAGAAUAAAUGUGAAAGAGAACUCAUUCAGAGUGGGUGCAUUCUUUUGGUCCCAAACAUACCAGCUACUGCCUGUAUAUAUUACCAUUAUAAGUGACCCGGACCAGUGAUCUAAAUUUAUGAUUCUAUGAUCAUUAAUAGUAAAUUUUGAACUCUGAUGGAAGAUCCUUUUUUUGAAAUGAUAAAUAAUAGAGACAGGUCACUUCUACAGAGAUAGUUGCAUAAGUAAGCAAGCACAUUUCAAGAUAGCCAAGUAAAGUGUAAAGUAAUUUGUGUUAUGCUGUUAGCCAUUGCUACACAAUAAGUAAAUUUAUCCUUGAGAAAAUUAAUUUUGAAAAAAGAAUUACGGAUCACUGUAAAUCUUCAGGUAAGCAUGAAUUUACAGUGCACUAGUAAUCAAACAGUUUAAUAUAAACUUUGGAUUCACAAAAGGGCUUAUUAAGAAGUAAGAGACAUGAUAUUACACCCUACUUCCUUUAAUAACAAAGUUUCUAGAAUUCUAGUUUCCAUUCUUCAAUCAACAACUGAAAAACUGCUGAAAAACAGACAGCCCAGGGAAUAAAUGGAAGGGUAAAAGAACAGAAUGAAGAACUCAAGUAGUUCCAUAUAUUUAUCUUACUAUGAAAAUAAAGAAUGAAGAGUUGCAUGAAUGUAGUCUUUAAGAACUGAAGUGUAAAUUUGGAACUUGAUUAUAAACAGCUUUAAUACUCUGUGUCUAUUUGGUAACUAGAAAGCCAAAUCUAAUUCUUGGGAUACUUCUGCCUCUUCUCAGGAGGAGAAGAAAAUAGCAAUGUCAGCAGUAAAUGCAACUCAUACAGUUUUCCUGAAUCUGCAGAAAAUCUGACAAGGAUAUGCUGCUGUGGUUGUCUCCCAGAGAAGAGGAGAGAGAGGGUAGUAUGGCAUGAGAAGACAUCUCCCAGAAAUGAAACACGCACAUCAAUUUACUGGGACAUAUCCUCUCUUCCCCACGUGGGAACUUGCACUCACAACAUCGAAGGAGGCAGCUGGAUCUGCUGGGAUCUCUGAAAUCAGGACAUGACGAAACAGGACUUGUAUUGGAACAGGACUCGAAGAAGAAAAAAUGAGGAAAAAUGCAAAAAUUUGUGAGGUCUCAUAAAACUUUCUGACCCUUUUUCUAUGCAAUUUAGAUAUAAAUGUAUGCUAUACACAGAAGGGGGAAACAGCAACAACAGCAAAAACUUCAGGCAUGUGUCUGUGGGUCUGGGCCAGUAGGAUUGUUCUUCUAUCUCAAAAAGCAUAGUCAUCACCGGGGAAUGAAAAAGUAACAAAAUCUGUACCUGUCUUCCUCUAUAUAAAUUCGUUUGAUCACCAGUUUAUAUGUCUGCUUAUUUAAUUAGUAAAGGGCCUGACACCAACUAUUUGUGCAUGCGGAAGUGAAACCCCACCUUUGUGUGCAUGGAAGAAGUAAUUUACAUGACAUUGUCUCAGUGCUAUAACAAGAUAGUUUUCAACAUCCUUGUGCUAUAAUUAUAGGUUCUUUAAUUAGCAAAGAAUACUUCAAUUAGUGUCUUUGCACAUUCCAGACAUCAUUACUGCUACAUUACCCAUGCACUUCACUUACUUCAAUGGUUUUGAAUUAAGUAUAGAGCACAUUCAGGGUUCCUCUUUUAACUUUUAAAAAUCUCCAUUAUCUAGAUUAAUAUUAUGACUCAGAUGAUAUCCCUCUCAUUUUUCCCUCCAGAUCAUGAUCUCUAGUCUGCUACUGUAGGUCAUUUUACGUUAGAUACAUGUACCGUGUCUUUUUUUUAGUAACAUUUUUUUUUUUUAUCCGAACACAUUAUGAUCUAAAUUAAUUGAAAUUUACUAUUAAAUGCAAUUGUUUAUGACUGUUUCUAGCUCUGCAGUUUAAUUCAGGCUUACAAUUAUUUCUGUUGAACUACAGCAAUGUUUUCAGUUUUUCCAAAAAAGAUAAAAAAUCUCUUUCAAUACACAUGGUGAAAUUUCAACUCUAGAAGGUACAUUAUUAUUAAAAUCUACUUAUGUCAUAAAAUAACACCAGAUUCUU
Molecule: long non-coding RNA, 2233 nt
Filed under: Anser cygnoides (Swan goose)
Lineage: Eukaryota; Metazoa; Chordata; Aves; Anseriformes; Anatidae
Description: lncRNA (ENSACDG00005003260.1)
Source: RNAcentral